This 125-nucleotide small RNA is filed under the name Marmota monax (woodchuck). Lineage: Eukaryota; Metazoa; Chordata; Mammalia; Rodentia; Sciuridae. The record is from RNAcentral.
GCCAGGCACAGGGGCGCAUGCCUGUAAUCCCAGCGGCUCAGGAGGCUGAGACAGGAGGAUGGCGAGUUCAAAGCCAGCCUCAGCACAAACAAGGCAUUAAGCAACUCAAUGAAACCCUGUCUCUA